UUUAAAUUGAGAGUUUGAUCCUGGCUCAGGACGAACGCUGGCGGCGUGCUUAACACAUGCAAGUCGAGCGAUGAAGCUUCCUUCGGGAAGUGGAUUAGCGGCGGACGGGUGAGUAACACGUGGGCAACCUGCCUCAAAGAGGGGAAUAGCCCUCCGAAAGGAGGAUUAAUACCGCAUAAAGUUAGAGUUUCGCAUGAAACUUUAACCAAAGGAGUAAUCUGCUUUGAGAUGGGCCCGCGUCCCAUUAGCUAGUUGGUAAGGUAAUGGCUUACCAAGGCAACGAUGGGUAGCCGAC
RNAcentral lists this ribosomal RNA (295 nucleotides) under Clostridium cochlearium. RNAcentral's name for it is "partial 16S ribosomal RNA". It matches the Rfam family "Bacterial small subunit ribosomal RNA", at positions 1 to 291 of the family's 1533-position model. The record is from RNAcentral. Lineage: Bacteria; Bacillati; Bacillota; Clostridia; Eubacteriales; Clostridiaceae.